GGAAGGUGGGGAUGACGUCAAGUCCGCAUGCUCCUUACGCUAGGGCUACACACGUCCUACAAUGGGGUCGACAGUGGGAUGCAAAGCCGCGAGGUGGAGCCAAUCCCCCAAACGGCCUCUCAGUUCGGAUAGUAGUCUGCAACUCGACUACUUGAAGUCGGAAUCGCUAGUAAUGGCGGAUCAGCAUGCCGCCGUGAAUACGUUCCCGGGUCUU
RNAcentral lists this ribosomal RNA (214 nucleotides) under uncultured bacterium. RNAcentral's name for it is "partial 16S ribosomal RNA". It matches the Rfam family "Bacterial small subunit ribosomal RNA", at positions 1168 to 1382 of the family's 1533-position model. The record is from RNAcentral.